Molecule: ribosomal RNA, 497 nt
Filed under: uncultured bacterium
Lineage: Bacteria
Description: partial 16S ribosomal RNA
Rfam family: Bacterial small subunit ribosomal RNA
Source: RNAcentral
GAUGAACGCUGGCGGCGUGCCUAAUACAUGCAAGUCGAGCGAACAGACGAGGAGCUUGCUCCUCUGACGUUAGCGGCGGACGGGUGAGUAACACGUGGAUAACCUACCUAUAAGACUGGGAUAACUUCGGGAAACCGGAGCUAAUACCGGAUAAUAUAUUGAACCGCAUGGUUCAAUAGUGAAAGACGGUUUUGCUGUCACUUAUAGAUGGAUCCGCGCCGCAUUAGCUAGUUGGUAAGGUAACGGCUUACCAAGGCAACGAUGCGUAGCCGACCUGAGAGGGUGAUCGGCCACACUGGAACUGAGACACGGUCCAGACUCCUACGGGAGGCAGCAGUAGGGAAUCUUCCGCAAUGGGCGAAAGCCUGACGGAGCAACGCCGCGUGAGUGAUGAAGGUCUUCGGAUCUUAAAGCUCUGUUAUUAGGGAAGAACAAAUGUGUAAGUAACUAUGCACGUCUUGACGGUACCUAAUCAGAAAGCCACGGCUAACUACGUG